GGGUCGUUAGCUCAGUUGGUAGAGCACCUCCCUUACAAGGAGGGGGUCGGCGGUUCGAUCCCGUCAUCACCCACCA
This 76-nucleotide transfer RNA is filed under the name Escherichia coli. RNAcentral describes it as "tRNA-Val". It matches the Rfam family "tRNA". From Rfam's summary of the family: Transfer RNA (tRNA) molecules are approximately 80 nucleotides in length. Their secondary structure includes four short double-helical elements and three loops (D, anti-codon, and T loops). Further hydrogen bonds mediate the characteristic L-shaped molecular structure. tRNAs have two regions of fundamental functional importance: the anti-codon, which is responsible for specific mRNA codon recognition, and the 3' end, to which the tRNAs corresponding amino acid is attached (by aminoacyl-tRNA synthetases). tRNAs cope with the degeneracy of the genetic code in two manners: having more than one tRNA (with a specific anti-codon) for a particular amino acid; and 'wobble' base-pairing, i.e. permitting non-standard base-pairing at the 3rd anti-codon position. The record is from RNAcentral. RNAcentral also lists the same sequence under 2 other names. Lineage: Bacteria; Pseudomonadati; Pseudomonadota; Gammaproteobacteria; Enterobacterales; Enterobacteriaceae.